UGCCCAGCAACUCCUAUUUCUACCUUCUCAUGGUAUUGGCCGCGGGACGAGUAACCUUAGAGAAGAUCGGUGGGAAUUUUGAUCGUAUUCUGACAUGGAAGG
RNAcentral lists this ribozyme (102 nucleotides) under Aedes aegypti (yellow fever mosquito). RNAcentral describes it as "drz-agam-1 ribozyme". It matches the Rfam family "drz-agam-1 ribozyme". The record is from Rfam by way of RNAcentral. Lineage: Eukaryota; Metazoa; Arthropoda; Insecta; Diptera; Culicidae.